GACGAACGCUGGCGGCGUGCCUAAUACAUGCAAGUCGAACGCUUCUUUUUCCACCGGAGCUUGCUCCACCGGAAAAAGAGGAGUGGCGAACGGGUGAGUAACACGUGGGUAACCUGCCCAUCAGAAGGGGAUAACACUUGGAAACAGGUGCUAAUACCGUAUAACAAUCGAAACCGCAUGGUUUUGAUUUGAAAGGCGCUUUCGGGUGUCGCUGAUGGAUGGACCCGCGGUGCAUUAGCUAGUUGGUGAGGUAACGGCUCACCAAGGCCACGAUGAAUAGCCGACCUGAGAGGGUGAUCGGCCACAUUGGGACUGAGACACGACCCAAACUCUUACGGGAGGCAGCAGUAGGGAAUCUUCGGCAAUGGACGAAAGUCUGACCGAGCAACGCCGCGUGAGUGAAGAAGGUUUUCGGAUCGUAAAACUCUGUUGUUAGAGAAGAACAAGGAUGAGAGUAACUGUUCAUCCCUUGACGGUAUCCAACCAGAAAGCCACGGCUAACUACGUGCCAGCAGCCGCAGUAA
This 524-nucleotide ribosomal RNA is filed under the name uncultured bacterium. Its description in RNAcentral is "partial 16S ribosomal RNA". It matches the Rfam family "Bacterial small subunit ribosomal RNA", at positions 28 to 523 of the family's 1533-position model. The record is from RNAcentral.